UUAAUGAGGCGAACCGGGGGAACUGAAACAUCUAAGUACCCCGAGGAAAAGAAAUCAACCGAGAUUCCCCCAGUAGCGGCGAGCGAACGGGGAGGAGCCCAGAGCCUGAAUCAGCAUGUGUGUUAGUGGAAGCGUCUGGAAAGGCGCGCGAUACAGGGUGACAGCCCCGUACACAAAAGCGCAUGUGCUGUGAGCUCGAUGAGUAGGGCGGGACACGUGGUAUCCUGUCUGAAUAUGGGGGGACCAUCCUCCAAGGCUAAAUACUCCUGACUGACCGAUAGUGAACCAGUACCGUGAGGGAAAGGCGAAAAGAACCCCGGCGAGGGGAGUGAAAAAGAACCUGAAACCGUGUACGUACAAGCAGUGGGAGCACCCUUCGGGGUGUGACUGCGUACCUUUUGUAUAAUGGGUCAGCGACUUAUAUUCUGUAGCAAGGUUAACCGUAUAGGGGAGCCGGAGGGAAACCGAGUCUUAACCGGGCGUUAAGUUGCAGGGUAUAGACCCGAAACCCGGUGAUCUAGCCAUGGGCAGGUUGAAGGUUGGGUAACACUAACUGGAGGACCGAACCGACUAAUGUUGAAAAAUUAGCGGAUGACCUGUGGCUGGGGGUGAAAGGCCAAUCAAACCGGGAGAUAGCUGGUUCUCCCCGAAAGCUAUUUAGGUAGCGCCUCGUGAAUUCAUCUCCGGGGGUAGAGCACUGUUUCGGCUAGGGGGCCAUCCCGGCUUACCAACCCGAUGCAAACUGCGAAUACCGGAGAAUGUUAUCACGGGAGACACACGGCGGGUGCUAACGUCCGUCGUGAAGAGGGAAACAACCCAGACCGCCAGCUAAGGUCCCAAAGUCAUGGUUAAGUGGGAAACGAUGUGGGAAGGCCCAGACAGCCAGGAUGUUGGCUUAGAAGCAGCCAUCAUUUAAAGAAAGCGUAAUAGCUCACUGGUCGAGUCGGCCUGCGCGGAAGAUGUAACGGGGCUAAACCAUGCACCGAAGCUGCGGCAGCGACGCUGAUGCGUUGUUGGGUAGGGGAGCGUUCUGUAAGCCUGCGAAGGUGACCUGUGAGGGUUGCUGGAGGUAUCAGAAGUGCGAAUGCUGACAUAAGUAACGAUAAAGCGGGUGAAAAGCCCGCUCGCCGGAAGACCAAGGGUUCCUGUCCAACGUUAAUCGGGGCAGGGUGAGUCGACCCCUAAGGCGAGGCCGAAAGGCGUAGUCGAUGGGAAACGGGUUAAUAUUCCCGUACUUGGUGUUACUGCGAAGGGGGGACGGAGAAGGCUAUGUUGGCCGGGCGACGGUUGUCCCGGUUUAAGCGUGUAGGUGUGUGUUCCAGGUAAAUCCGGUUCACUUUAACACUGAGGCGUGACGACGAGGCACUACGGUGCUGAAGCAACAAAUGCCCUGCUUCCAGGAAAAGCCUCUAAGCAUCAGGUAACACGAAAUCGUACCCCAAACCGACACAGGUGGUCAGGUAGAGAAUACCAAGGCGCUUGAGAGAACUCGGGUGAAGGAACUAGGCAAAAUGGUGCCGUAACUUCGGGAGAAGGCACGCUGACACGUAGGUGAAGUGAUUUACUCAUGGAGCUGAAGUCAGUCGAAGAUACCAGCUGGCUGCAACUGUUUAUUAAAAACACAGCACUGUGCAAACACGAAAGUGGACGUAUACGGUGUGACGCCUGCCCGGUGCCGGAAGGUUAAUUGAUGGGGUCAGCGNGUGUGACUGCGUACCUUUUGUAUAAUGGGUCAGCGACUUAUAUUCUGUAGCAAGGUUAACCGUAUAGGGGAGCCGGAGGGAAACCGAGUCUUAACCGGGCGUUAAGUUGCAGGGUAUAGACCCGAAACCCGGUGAUCUAGCCAUGGGCAGGUUGAAGGUUGGGUAACACUAACUGGAGGACCGAACCGACUAAUGUUGAAAAAUUAGCGGAUGACCUGUGGCUGGGGGUGAAAGGCCAAUCAAACCGGGAGAUAGCUGGUUCUCCCCGAAAGCUAUUUAGGUAGCGCCUCGUGAAUUCAUCUCCGGGGGUAGAGCACUGUUUCGGCUAGGGGGCCAUCCCGGCUUACCAACCCGAUGCAAACUGCGAAUACCGGAGAAUGUUAUCACGGGAGACACACGGCGGGUGCUAACGUCCGUCGUGAAGAGGGAAACAACCCAGACCGCCAGCUAAGGUCCCAAAGUCAUGGUUAAGUGGGAAACGAUGUGGGAAGGCCCAGACAGCCAGGAUGUUGGCUUAGAAGCAGCCAUCAUUUAAAGAAAGCGUAAUAGCUCACUGGUCGAGUCGGCCUGCGCGGAAGAUGUAACGGGGCUAAACCAUGCACCGAAGCUGCGGCAGCGAACGUAUCACCCAAGACAACUUUACGGAGUUGACGAUUGACGGAGCGAAGCGACGUCAAAGCGUUCAUUAAAGUCGAGUUGGCUUAGGGAUACGUUCGUUGGGUAGGGGAGCGUUCUGUAAGCCUGUGAAGGUGUGUCGUGAGGCAUGCUGGAGGUAUCAGAAGUGCGAAUGCUGACAUAAGUAACGAUAAAGCGGGUGAAAAGCCCGCUCGCCGGAAGACCAAGGGUUCCUGUCCAACGUUAAUCGGGGCAGGGUGAGUCGACCCCUAAGGCGAGGCCGAAAGGCGUAGUCGAUGGGAAACGGGUUAAUAUUCCCGUACUUGGUGUUACUGCGAAGGGGGGACGGAGAAGGCUAUGUUGGCCGGGCGACGGUUGUCCCGGUUUAAGCGUGUAGGUGUGUGUUCCAGGUAAAUCCGGUUCACUUUAACACUGAGGCGUGACGACGAGGCACUACGGUGCUGAAGCAACAAAUGCCCUGCUUCCAGGAAAAGCCUCUAAGCAUCAGGUAACACGAAAUCGUACCCCAAACCGACACAGGUGGUCAGGUAGAGAAUACCAAGGCGCUUGAGAGAACUCGGGUGAAGGAACUAGGCAAAAUGGUGCCGUAACUUCGGGAGAAGGCACGCUGACACGUAGGUGAAGUGAUUUACUCAUGGAGCUGAAGUCAGUCGAAGAUACCAGCUGGCUGCAACUGUUUAUUAAAAACACAGCACUGUGCAAACACGAAAGUGGACGUAUACGGUGUGACGCCUGCCCGGUGCCGGAAGGUUAAUUGAUGGGGUCAGCGUAAGCGAAGCUCCUGAUCGAAGCCCCGGUAAACGGCGGCCGUAACUAUAACGGUCCUAAGGUAGCGAAAUUCCUUGUCGGGUAAGUUCCGACCUGCACGAAUGGCGUAAUGAUGGCCAGGCUGUCUCCACCCGAGACUCAGUGAAAUUGAACUCGCUGUGAAGAUGCAGUGUACCCGCGGCAAGACGGAAAGACCCCGUGAACCUUUACUAUAGCUUGACACUGAACAUUGAGCCUUGAUGUGUAGGAUAGGUGGGAGGCUUUGAAGUGUGGACGCCAGUCUGCAUGGAGCCGACCUUGAAAUACCACCCUUUAAUGUUUGAUGUUCUAACGUGGACCCGUAAUCCGGGUUGCGGACAGUGUCUGGUGGGUAGUUUGACUGGGGCGGUCUCCUCCUAAAGAGUAACGGAGGAGCACGAAGGUUGGCUAAUCCUGGUCGGACAUCAGGAGGUUAGUGCAAUGGCAUAAGCCAGCUUGACUGCGAGCGUGACGGCGCGAGCAGGUGCGAAAGCAGGUCAUAGUGAUCCGGUGGUUCUGAAUGGAAGGGCCAUCGCUCAACGGAUAAAAGGUACUCCGGGGAUAACAGGCUGAUACCGCCCAAGAGUUCAUAUCGACGGCGGUGUUUGGCACCUCGAUGUCGGCUCAUCACAUCCCGGGGCUGAAGUAGGUCCCAAGGGUAUGGCUGUUCGCCAUUUAAAGUGGUACGCGAGCUGGGUUUAGAACGUCGUGAGACAGUUCGGUCCCUAUCUGCCGUGGGCGCUGGAGAACUGAGGGGGGCUGCUCCUAGUACGAGAGGACCGGAGUGGACGCAUCACUGGUGUUCGGGUUGUCAUGCCAAUGGCACUGCCCGGUAGCUAAAUGCGGAAGAGAUAAGUGCUGAAAGCAUCUAAGCACGAAACUUGCCCCGAGAUGAGUUCUCCCUGAGACUUAGAGUCUCCUGAAGGAACGUUGAAGACGACGACGUUGAUAGGCCGGGUGUGUAAGCGCAGCGAUGCGUUGAGCUAACCGGUACUAAUGAACCGUGAGGCUUAACCUU
RNAcentral lists this ribosomal RNA (4143 nucleotides) under Salmonella enterica subsp. enterica serovar Typhimurium str. DT104. RNAcentral describes it as "23S ribosomal RNA". The stretch from base 1630 to 4143 matches the Rfam family "Bacterial large subunit ribosomal RNA". The record is from RNAcentral. Lineage: Bacteria; Pseudomonadati; Pseudomonadota; Gammaproteobacteria; Enterobacterales; Enterobacteriaceae.